AACGCACGAGACCUGCGGACCUGCGGAGGGAUCAUUACUGGAUCGUCGAAAGACGUCUCCUUCUACACCAUUGUGAACCUACCUAUCUGUCGUGCUUCGGCGGGCGAUUCCCCAUUCGUGGGCGUCUCCCAGGCCUUCCCAGGUGCCUGCCGGAGUGCAGAAAACAGAAACUAGAAUGCUGUCUUAGUGGAAUCUUCAGAUCAAACCAAAAGAAAAUAUUGUAACAACUUUCAACAACGG
This 240-nucleotide unclassified non-coding RNA is filed under the name soil metagenome. RNAcentral describes it as "partial contains 5.8S ribosomal RNA, internal transcribed spacer 2, and large subunit ribosomal RNA". The record is from RNAcentral.